RNAcentral lists this ribosomal RNA (393 nucleotides) under uncultured bacterium. RNAcentral's name for it is "partial 16S ribosomal RNA". It matches the Rfam family "Bacterial small subunit ribosomal RNA", at positions 523 to 918 of the family's 1533-position model. The record is from RNAcentral.
AUACGGAGGACGCGAGCGUUAUCCGGAUUCAUUGGGUUUAAAGGGUGGGCAGGCGGCCGUGCAAGUCAGCGGUGAAAGCCCGGGGCUCAACCCCGGAAGUGCCUCCCGAACUGGUGGACUUGAAUGACUCUGCCGUGGGAGGAAUGUGUAGUGUAGCGGUGAAAUGCGUAGAUAUGCCACAGAACGCCGAUAGCGGAGGCAGCUCGCCAGGCCUGCAUUGACGCUCGGGCACGAAAGCGUGGGGAUCGAACAGGAUUAGAUACCCUGGUAGUCCACGCCGUAAACGAUGGGCGCUCGUCGUCGGCGGCAGACAGUCGGCGGCCAAGCGAAAGCGAUAAGCGCCCCACCUGGGGAGUACGGUCGCAAGGCUGAAACUUAAAGGAAUUGACGGGG